CCCUUAGAUGUUCUGGGCCACACGCGCGUUACACUGAUGAAGCCAGCGAGUAUAUCGCCUUCACCGGAAGGUGCGGGUAAUCUUGUGAAACUUCAUCGUGCUGGGGAUAGACCAUUGCAAUUAUUGGUCUUGAACGAGGAAUUCCUAGUAAGCAUGAGUCAUCAACUCGUGCUGAUUACGUCCCUGCCCUUUGUACACACCGCCCGUCGCUACUACCGAUUGAAUGGUUUAGUGAGAUCUCGGGAUUGGAGACGUUGCGCCGCAAGGCACAUCGUCCUCGAGAACUUGAUCAAACUUGAUCAUUUAGAGGAAGUAAAAGUCGCAACA
Molecule: ribosomal RNA, 327 nt
Filed under: uncultured eukaryote
Lineage: Eukaryota
Description: partial 18S ribosomal RNA
Rfam family: Eukaryotic small subunit ribosomal RNA
Source: RNAcentral